This 19-nucleotide ribosomal RNA is filed under the name Closterium spinosporum var. ryukyuense (nom. inval.). RNAcentral describes it as "Closterium spinosporum var. ryukyuense partial large subunit ribosomal RNA". The record is from RNAcentral. Lineage: Eukaryota; Viridiplantae; Streptophyta; Zygnematophyceae; Desmidiales; Closteriaceae.
UUAGCCUCAGUUCAGGCAG